UUGACCUCGAAUCAGGUAGGAAUACCCGCUGAACUUAAGCAUAUCAAUAAGCGGAGGAAAAGAAACCAACCGGGAUUACCUCAGUAACGGCGAGUGAAGCGGUAACAGCUCAAAUUUGAAAUCUGGCUCCUUCGGAGUCCGAGUUGUAAUUUGUAGAAGAUGCUUUGGGUUGUGGGCUCGGCCUAAGUUCCUUGGAACAGGACGUCAUAGAGGGUGAGAAUCCCGUAUGUGGCCAUGGCCCGCGCCUAUGUAAAGCUCUUUCGACGAGUCGAGUUGUUUGGGAAUGCAGCUCAAAAUGGGUGGUAAAUUUCAUCUAAAGCUAAAUAUGGGCCAGAGACCGAUAGCGCACAAGUAGAGUGAUCGAAAGAUGAAAAGCACUUUGGAAAGAGAGUUAAACAGUACGUGAAAUUGUUGAAAGGGAAGCGCUUGCAACCAGACUUGGGCGCUGCCGAUCACCCCGAGUUCUCUCGGGUGCACUCGACAGCGCACAGGCCAGCAUCGGUUCGGGUGGCUGGAUAAAGGCCGUAGGAAUGUAGCUCUCUUCGGGGAGUGUUAUAGCCCACGGUGCCAUGCAGCCCAGCCGGACCGAGGACCGCGCCUUCGGGCUAGGAUGCUGGCGUAAUGGUUGUAAGCGACCCGUCUUGAAACACGGACCAAGGAGUCUAACAUCUAUGCGAGUGUUUGGGCGUUAAACCCAUGCGCGGAAUGAAAGUGAACGUAGGUGAGAACCCCUUUGGGGCGCAUCAUCGACCGAUCC
Molecule: ribosomal RNA, 757 nt
Filed under: Pseudoidium sp. DNA230
Lineage: Eukaryota; Fungi; Ascomycota; Leotiomycetes; Helotiales; Erysiphaceae
Description: eukaryotic LSU rRNA
Rfam family: Eukaryotic large subunit ribosomal RNA
Source: RNAcentral